AAUAAUUUAAAGUAUAUUCUGCCCAGUGAAUUUUUAACGGCCGCAGUACCUUGACUGUGCUAAGGUAGCAUAAUAAAUUGUCUUUUAAUUAAAGACUAGAAUGAACGAAAUUUUGAUAAGAUACUGUUUCUUUUAAAUUUAAAUAAACUUACUUAAAAGGUGAAAAUUCCUUUAUAUAUUUAAUAGACGAGAAGACCCUUAGAAUUUAUAUUAUUUUGUUGGGGCGACAAAGGAACAAAUAACUUCCUUUUAAUUUUAAAUAUUUAACUAAAUAUUUUCAUUAAAGUUAAAUUACCUAAGGGAUAACAGCAUAAUUCUUUUAAGAGUUUGUGACCUCGAUGUUGGACUAUGGACUUAAUUUUAAUAGAUUUAAAAUAAGAUUGUUCUGUUCGAGCA
Molecule: ribosomal RNA, 396 nt
Filed under: Prophysaon vanattae
Lineage: Eukaryota; Metazoa; Mollusca; Gastropoda; Stylommatophora; Arionidae
Description: partial 16S ribosomal RNA
Source: RNAcentral